Molecule: long non-coding RNA, 1191 nt
Filed under: Camelus dromedarius (Arabian camel)
Lineage: Eukaryota; Metazoa; Chordata; Mammalia; Artiodactyla; Camelidae
Description: lncRNA (ENSCDRG00005001734.1)
Source: RNAcentral
UUGUCCUACCCCCGAUGGGCGGGUUCAGAGAGGGAGACUGGAGGGGGUGGGGGGGCGGUUAGGGCCGAGCCCCGCUCGCACAGGAAGUGCGACUCGGGCCUCGCCGCUGCGCCCGGGCGAGCGCCAGCCCGCCUCUCCUCCUCCUCCUCCUCGCGUCCUCCCGCUCGCAAGCACACCGGCUCCACCGUCCGCAGAAGGCGGGCGGCGGGUUGGCGCCGGGCCUCCACCUUCCGCCCGGAACCCACCCCCGGGAGGCCAACACUUUCUGGAUCACACACACACCACACACACAGACACCACACAGACCACACACCACUCACCUCACACUCACACAACAGGCGUCGGGCGGGGGAGCGCGGGCGGGUCGGAGCGUUGGCGCCUCGGGCGGCAGCUCCCGGGCGGGGGAGGGGAGGAGAUAGAGGCGCGAGGGAGGGGAGAGGCGAGGGAGAGAAAGCGGCGCGAGGGGGAGCCGGGCCGGGGCUAAGCCGCUCCUCACCUGGCCGCCGCCGCGCCACCGCGCCGUUUUCCGUGCUGCUGCUGCUGCUGCAGAUACUCUCGCCGUGCCGCCGCCGCCGCCGCUGUCCACGUCCAAGGCAGCCAUUCCUCUUGUUUCACGGGCUUUUCGGGAGCUGGCAGGCACAGCGCGGGGGGGUGGGGGUGGGGAGGAAGGCGGGUGGAGAGAGGGAGGGGGCCCGCGGGCCGAGGCGAAAUUACUCCAAAGCCCGGACCGAGUCCCUUCCCCUCCCCCACCCGCCCCCCGGCGGCGGCGGCGGCGGCGGCGGCGGCUCCUCCUCCCUCCUGCUGCUGCCCCCGCCCGCCCCUGCCUGUAACCCUCCUCCUCCUCCUCUUUCCCUCCUCCUCCUCCUCCCCGCGCUGCCCCUGCCCCCUCUCCUCUCCUCCCCUUUCCCUUCGCGCCGCUCGCUCUCACUCGCGCUCGCUCCUCUCGCACCGUCAGUCACUCACACGCCCGCCCGCCGCCCGCGCCCGCACACAGGGGGAUGCGCUCCCGGUGGACCGGGCCGCCAGCCCCGGGCCCAGCGGGGACACGGCGUUGCUGGGGCUUCAGGGGUGGACGGUAGCUGGCGGGGAGGGGAGGGAGGCGGAAGGGAGUGCGGCUUUCUGCCUCUCACAGACACUCGGUCUCAUACAGGGGGCCCGGAGCCGGCGGCGGCGGCCCGGGGCUGGCUGUAG